GCCCCGGUAGCCUAGUGGUUAGAGCGUCUGCCUCGAAUGCGGGAGGUCGUGGGUUCUAUCCCCGGUCGAAUCA
Potamilus streckersoni is the source of this 73-nucleotide non-coding RNA. The record is from the annotation of a GenBank genome assembly. Lineage: Eukaryota; Metazoa; Mollusca; Bivalvia; Unionida; Unionidae.